UUUAGCUAGGAUGAUAAAUGUUUUUAAUCCCAGCUCAUUAUGAGACCUUUUGUAGGUCUGGGAAUUGACAUAAUCCUACAUUUAUCUGAGCUUCCA
RNAcentral lists this small nucleolar RNA (96 nucleotides) under Jatropha curcas. The record is from RNAcentral. Lineage: Eukaryota; Viridiplantae; Streptophyta; Magnoliopsida; Malpighiales; Euphorbiaceae.